Molecule: long non-coding RNA, 410 nt
Organism: Daphnia carinata
Lineage: Eukaryota; Metazoa; Arthropoda; Branchiopoda; Diplostraca; Daphniidae
Exons: 3
Source: RefSeq, a predicted model, not a curated record
GUCAGCGCAUGAAAUUGCUUGGAGUGAAGCUCGUGACGUAAGAGCGAUGGGACCUGUAUAUAAAGACACCCAACCGCUCUGCUUUCGAAUGUUCACGGAAGUCCUCUGCAGCCUGUAUUCUACAGUAUAGGUCUAUUUAAAUCAUGUUGAAAUCGAUUUCAAUGAAGACACUUGUUACGCUGCUGGUGGCGUGUUUCAUUUUGAUGGCAUCGUCACCAAACUUGAGGGGAGCUGAAGCUCGUUAUCUUAUGACUCGAUCUGAUCCAUUGCUGUCACCCGUUGGUCCUCCUUACGGCAAAGAUCCACGUUUUGAUCGCCUCUACGACAUCAUUACAAAGCUUCUUCGAAAUGGCGGUGGCGACUUGGAAUACCAAAUCAAAAGUCAGCUUGACAAUGGACCGUAGGCAACU